This 182-nucleotide ribosomal RNA is filed under the name uncultured bacterium. Its description in RNAcentral is "partial 16S ribosomal RNA". It matches the Rfam family "Bacterial small subunit ribosomal RNA", at positions 1318 to 1500 of the family's 1533-position model. The record is from RNAcentral.
GCAUGAAGUCGGAAUUGCAGUAAUCGCAGAUCAGCAUGCUGCGGUGAAUACGUUCCCGGGCCUUGUGCACACCGCCCGUCACACCAUGGGAGUCGGUAACACCCGAAGUCGGUAGUCUAACCGAAAGGAGGACGCCGCCGAAGGUGGGAUUGAUGACUGGGGUGAAGUCGUAACAAGGUAGC